Molecule: ribosomal RNA, 739 nt
Filed under: uncultured bacterium
Lineage: Bacteria
Description: bacterial SSU rRNA
Rfam family: Bacterial small subunit ribosomal RNA
Source: RNAcentral
CUACCAUGCAAGUCGAGCGAUGAAAUCCCUUCGGGGGUGGAUUAGCGGCGGACGGGUGAGUAACACGUGGGUAACCUGCCUCAAAGAGGGGGAUAGCCUCCCGAAAGGGAGAUUAAUACCGCAUAACAUUAGUUUUUCGCAUGAAGAACUAAUUAAAGGAGCAAUCCGCUUUGAGAUGGACCCGCGGCGCAUUAGCUAGUUGGUGAGGUAACGGCUCACCAAGGCGACGAUGCGUAGCCGACCUGAGAGGGUGAUCGGCCACAUUGGAACUGAGACACGGUCCAGACUCCUACGGGAGGCAGCAGUGGGGAAUAUUGCACAAUGGGCGAAAGCCUGAUGCAGCAACGCCGCGUGAGUGAUGAAGGCCUUCGGGUUGUAAAGCUCUGUCUUUGGGGACGAUAAUGACGGUACCCAAGGAGGAAGCCACGGCUAACUACGUGCCAGCAGCCGCGGUAAUACGUAGGUGGCGAGCGUUGUCCGGAUUUACUGGGCGUAAAGGAUGCGUAGGCGGAUAUUUAAGUGAGAUGUGAAAUACCCGGGCUUAACUUGGGUGCUGCAUUUCAAACUGGAUAUCUAGAGUGCGGGAGAGGAGAAUGGAAUUCCUAGUGUAGCGGUGAAAUGCGUAGAGAUUAGGAAGAACACCAGUGGCGAAGGCGAUUCUCUGGACCGUAACUGACGCUGAGGCAUGAAAGCGUGGGUAGCAAACAGGAUUAGAUACCCUGGUAGUCCACGCCGUAAA